GGGACUGUGGCUCAGUGGUGGAGCAUCUGCUGGACAUGCAGAAUGUCCCAGGUUCAAUCCCUGUCAUCUCCA
Molecule: transfer RNA, 72 nt
Filed under: Sphaerodactylus townsendi
Lineage: Eukaryota; Metazoa; Chordata; Lepidosauria; Squamata; Sphaerodactylidae
Description: tRNA-Val
Rfam family: tRNA
About the family: Transfer RNA (tRNA) molecules are approximately 80 nucleotides in length. Their secondary structure includes four short double-helical elements and three loops (D, anti-codon, and T loops). Further hydrogen bonds mediate the characteristic L-shaped molecular structure. tRNAs have two regions of fundamental functional importance: the anti-codon, which is responsible for specific mRNA codon recognition, and the 3' end, to which the tRNAs corresponding amino acid is attached (by aminoacyl-tRNA synthetases). tRNAs cope with the degeneracy of the genetic code in two manners: having more than one tRNA (with a specific anti-codon) for a particular amino acid; and 'wobble' base-pairing, i.e. permitting non-standard base-pairing at the 3rd anti-codon position.
Source: RNAcentral